UACGUAGGGUGCAAGCGUUGUUCGGAAUUACUGGGCGUAAAGGGAGCGUAGGUGGAUAAGUAAGUUAGAAGUUUAAUGUAUGGGCUUAACCCGUAAUCUGCUUCUAAUACUGUUUAUCUUGAGUAUGGAAGAGGAAGAUGGAAUUCCAGGUGUAGCGGUGGAAUGCGUAGAUAUCUGGAAGAACACCAGUAGCGAAGGCGGUCUUCUGGUCCAAUACUGACGCUGAGGCUCGAAAGCUAGGGGAG
This 245-nucleotide ribosomal RNA is filed under the name uncultured bacterium. RNAcentral describes it as "partial 16S ribosomal RNA". It matches the Rfam family "Bacterial small subunit ribosomal RNA", at positions 524 to 768 of the family's 1533-position model. The record is from RNAcentral.